RNAcentral lists this ribosomal RNA (497 nucleotides) under uncultured bacterium. RNAcentral describes it as "partial 16S ribosomal RNA". It matches the Rfam family "Bacterial small subunit ribosomal RNA", at positions 28 to 507 of the family's 1533-position model. The record is from RNAcentral.
GAUGAACGCUGGCGGCGUGCCUAAUACAUGCAAGUCGAGCGAACGGACGAGAAGCUUGCUUCUCUGAUGUUAGCGGCGGACGGGUGAGUAACACGUGGAUAACCUACCUAUAAGACUGGGAUAACUUCGGGAAACCGGAGCUAAUACCGGAUAAUAUUUUGAACCGCAUGGUUCAAAAGUGAAAGACGGUCUUGCUGUCACUUAUAGAUGGAUCCGCGCUGCAUUAGCUAGUUGGUAAGGUAACGGCUUACCAAGGCAACGAUGCAUAGCCGACCUGAGAGGGUGAUCGGCCACACUGGGUCUGAGACACGGUCCAGACUCCUACGGGAGGCAGCAGUAGGGAAUCUUCCGCAAUGGGCGAAAGCCUGACGGAGCAGCGCCGCGUGAGUGAUGAAGGUCUUCGGAUCGUAAAACUCUGUUAUUAGGGAAGAACAUAUGUGUAAGUAACUGUGCACAUCUUGACGGUACCUAAUCAGAAAGCCACGGCUAACUACGUG